RNAcentral lists this long non-coding RNA (1055 nucleotides) under Bos taurus (domestic cattle). RNAcentral's name for it is "long non-coding RNA NONBTAT023360". The record is from RNAcentral. Lineage: Eukaryota; Metazoa; Chordata; Mammalia; Artiodactyla; Bovidae.
UUGGGAUGGAGGGAUAGAAUUCCUUCUCUUAGCCCCACUGAGAACCAUUAAGAAGCUGCCUUGCCUAGUUUGGUCUAACUUGAGAAUUAGAUGGCACAGAGUGGUUAACUAAAAACAACUUUGGUAUUCCCUGGAUCAGGUACUAUGCCAGGUCCCAGGGAUGCAGAGCGGGCGAAAAAGUCAGUUCCUUAAAGUAAAAAAACACAAAUGGUAAUUACACAAGUUUUAAGCAAGUGAAUUCUAUAACAACGUUAGUUGGUUCUCUACCUUGAAAAGUGGGCUCUAUUUUGGUUAACAAGGCUGCUACCAUAUGGGUUGUUGACAUUUUCUGCCUCAUCCAGCUCUUCUGACACCUUUAUGUAGUAUCUGAACCACUUGUGGGUCCCCCAGAGUACUAUAUACUCUUCCCUUUGGACUUUUGUGCAAAAUUUCCUGUCAGACAUAUCUUUUACCUAAUUUUAUUUCUGAUGCUGAAUCUUGCCACUGGAAACACUGAGUGUCAUUACUGGUUCACAAUUUCUCCUACAGUAUUUGCUGCAGGCAUAUUAGUUGGUGCUUUCCUUGGCAGGAUUCUGUGUUCUACAGGUCCUCUGGUAAGAAUCUGCCUUUGUCCCUGGGUCCUUUUGUUCCCCCUUUCCAGAUAGACUGGAGAAUUUGUCAAUGUGCUGAGUUCCUUCAGUGCUUCAGUAUUCUUGAGGCAGCUAAUUCAGCUUGACUUCAAGUGAUUUCCCUCCCGUUUUGGUACUGGUGGAAUCUGACUUCUGGUUACCUCUACUGAAAAGCAAUUCUGAAGUCCAUUUUCUCUACGUUCCCUUGGGACUGGCAAGUGGUUUGAGUUUCCAAAGGAUCUGUUUAGCUCAUGGGUGUUUAGAGGGGUUCAAGCUGGUGAAUUAAAAGUGGAGGAAGGAGAUGGUAUGGAAAUUUAGGACCCUAGAGCAAUCCUAGAAGAAUUUCUUGGAGGAGAAACUUUCUUGAUGUUUGUGGUCUUUCUAAAAAUCCAAGGAAAUUUUGCAUUCUGAUUGAGGAGUUUUCCUAUGACUGGCCUACUUGAGUUC